UACAAGAGGCAUUCAUGAAAUAUUUGUCAGGUAGUUGGGGCGCCAAGAGCAUUGGGGCGCCAGCUCUUGGCACCCCACAAAGGAGAGUUGGCACCCCACAAAGGGAUCUGUAGCCAAAAGUGAUGGGGCGUGGCCUCCAUUCUCUCUCCUCCAUGCCAUGAGACAUAAGAGGGGGUGGGCCACUCUAGUAUAUGGCACCAAAUAUUUACCAAAAGAAAAAAGAUGCACCAUCCAAUCUUUCAACUAUUCCACGUACACACUUAGAGAUAAUUAAGAGAUAAAGAAG
Molecule: long non-coding RNA, 286 nt
Filed under: Elaeis guineensis (African oil palm)
Lineage: Eukaryota; Viridiplantae; Streptophyta; Magnoliopsida; Arecales; Arecaceae
Description: long non-coding RNA (EGUI_LNC081422)
Source: RNAcentral